Oryctolagus cuniculus (rabbit) is the source of this 1628-nucleotide long non-coding RNA. Lineage: Eukaryota; Metazoa; Chordata; Mammalia; Lagomorpha; Leporidae. The record is from Ensembl.
AAAACAAAAACAAAAACAAAAAACAAAACAACAACAAAAACCUAGCCGGGCGGCUCGCUGGGGGCGCGGACAAGUCCGGAAGCUCUCUCUCUUUUGGAAGGGGAGGAGGUGCGGGGGGGGGGUCUCUUCAAGCAAAGGGGAGGAAACUCGAAGUAGCUUGUUUUGCCAUCAUCACCAACAACAUCAAUAACAACACCAAAAGGUCGCCCCGUCCACCCUCGGGCCGCGCCGGGCGCAGGGUGGGGGAUGGGAGCGCGCGUCCAAGCGCCCCCGCGCUCCGCUCCAGCGGCGGGGGCGCGCCGAUGCCGGCCCUGCGCACUGUUUUGCUCCUUUUUCCUUUUUUUUUUUCUUCAAACAUUUUUUUGUUUUCGUUUUCUCUGUUUCCCUUUUCUGUUUCGGCUCUUCAUCCGUUCCGUUUCUCCUUUUUUUUUUUCUCUCUCUCUCUCUCUUUCUCUCCUUUCUCCUCUCUCGCUUCUCCCCGGGCCCCCUCCUCUCCCCGGCCCGCGCGCCCCUCUCAGUAGGUGAAGACCAGGUUGGAGAUGCUGGACUCGAGCCAGUCUCCCGAGAUCAUCUCGCUCACCUCGGGCGUGCAGUAGUCCGGGAACUCGAAGUGCGAGCCGGAGCCCGGCUCGAAGUUAAAAUCCAGGUCCCGGUCGAGCGCCGACGACGAGCUGAAGCUGCCCAGGGACAUGCUCUCAAAGUUUGAGCUGGGGUGCAGGUCGAGCAGGUCGUCCUCGAACUCGUCGUCGGAAGACGAGGAGCCCGAGGAGGAGGAGGCGGACGACGACGACGACGACGACGCGUGCGAGGGCGCGCUGGACGGGGCGGGGCAAGGCGGCACGCAGGCUGGCGUUGCCGGACUUCACCUUCUUCCUGGGCCGGUACUUGUAGUCGGGGUAGUCAGCCAUGUGCUUGAGGCGCAGCCGCUCCGCCUCCCGAAUGAAAGGGAUCUUGUCGCUGUCUUUGAGCAGCUUCCAGCGUUUGCCCAGCCGCUUGUUACCAGUCUCGGCGUUGUGCAUGUCGGGCGACUGCUCCAUGAUCUUGCGCCGCUCGAUCUGCGACCACACCAUGAAGGCGUUCAUGGGCCGCUUGAUGUGCCCGCUCGGCGUCUUGCACCAACUCGGGUCGUCGGCCUUGCCGCCCGUGGAGGCGGUGGAGCCGGGCGUGGGCGACGAGGCGAUGGCCAGCUCGAGGCCGGCGCCCGAGUCCGAGCUCUCGCCGGCCAGCAGCGCUUCCGUGUUCUCGGCGUUGUUGGUUUGCUGCACCAUGGCCCCGGCUCCGCGGGCGCCCACGCGCGCUCACACCCUCGCGGCGGCCCGGGGCGCGAUCGCCGGGCGCUGCCGGCUGCCCGGGGCCGAGCACACGCCGAGCCGAGGGUCGCGCGCCGCGGCCGAGCGGGCCCCUCCACUCCGCGCCGGGGCGGAGGUGGGCGAGGAGAGAAAAGUCCGCAAAAAGAUGCGGGGACGGAGAACUCCGCCUGUCGCGCAGGAGUUGUAGCUUCCAGGCUGGAGAGGCUCGCUCGCUCGCUCUCUCCUCCCUCUCUCUCUCUCUCUCCCCUCUCUGAGUCUCUCUCACCGACCGCGCCGCAGUUUGCUGUCUGUCGGCUCAGAGUCUGGAGACCGUGCUAA